Molecule: long non-coding RNA, 2170 nt
Filed under: Homo sapiens (human)
Lineage: Eukaryota; Metazoa; Chordata; Mammalia; Primates; Hominidae
Description: non-protein coding lnc-C15orf53-9:1
Source: RNAcentral
AGAUACCAACAUGAGCAUGAAACAUACUCCACAAAGGAGCUGUUCAACAAGGGGUCCCAUGAUUUCAGGGCCACUAGUCCAGAAAAGGAUAUUCAGUCACGGUGCAAAAGAAGAGGGUAUAUGAGGACCUCUUUGAAGGGAGCUGAGAAAAGGACCUGGGGAAGCCCCUCAGCCUGGUGAUCUUUCUCCUGCUUCCUGAAAACCCAGCACUCUUCAUACCUAUCCUAUCCUGGCUUGGCUGUAGACUGAGUGGACGGUCUUUCCUCCAGAGGAACUUCUAUGAGAGUCCAACAGACAACCAGAUUCCAGAAUCAUAUGGAGAAACCAGCUUUCUAUCCAUGGCCUAAAGGAAGCUGAAACAGCUUAGAGGCUGAAGAAAUGAACCACAGAGCUUGAAACAGAGGCAAUCAAGUCAUCUCAAACAGCGGGACUAGGAAAUCUAAGUCAAGUCUGAAGAGAAAGGCAAGUCUCUUUUAGGCUGUCAGCCACCAAAGCAGCUAGCAAAUACAAGGACACUGAAAGGCAUUCUGCCAACACGACCUCAGAAGUAUUUACAGACUGCAAUGGAGACCAUGAUAUAAUUCAGUUUCUGCAUGGCUAUACUCUUUGCCAAUUAAUAUUCUAAUGUAUCCUUUGAGGAUGUGGUAAAUGUUGGUUUAAGAUAAAACAGCAAAGACAAAUAUUAGUGUGCCACAUAAAGGUAUUACUUGCCAUGAGAGCACUGUUUCUUAGUACAGACUACCUGGAUUGCACAACCAGAGAUUCUGGUCUCACUGGACCAGAGUGUACAGCCUGGGUACCAGGAUUUUCAAAUAGCCUCGUCCACCUAGUGAUUCUAAUAAGCAGCUAUGAUUGAGAAACACUGUACUCGUCAAUUACCAGAAUGUUUUGUAUUCUAUUUGGAACACAACUAAAAUUUGACCUGAUGAACUCGUGCAAAAUAUUAAAAGCUGAACCUGCAGAGGCCAGAUGCAGUGGCUCAUGCCUGUAAUCUUACCACGUUGGGAGGCUGAGUCAGGCAGAUCGCUUGAACCCAGGGGUUCAAGACCAGCCUAGGCUACAUGGUGAAACUUCAUCUCUAUUAAAAAUACAAAAAUUAGCCAGGCAUGGUGAUAUGCACCUGUAGUCCCAGCUACUCAGGAGGCUAAGGUGGGAGAAUGGCUUGAACCUCCAGAGGCAAAGGUUGCAGUGAGCUAUGAUCGUGCCACUGUACUCCAGUUUGGGUGACAGAAUGAGACCCUGUCUCAAAAACAAACAACAAACAAAAAAGGCUGAAACUGCAGAGAAAUAGGGAGAGGACUAUGGAAAUAUUAUAGAAAGAUAAAUAGCUGAAGAAGUAAUGUCACCGCCACACACCCUAACCUGAUAUUUGAGGAAAAGAGACGAAACACACAAGUAACAAAAACAAAAGGUGAAGCUUGGUUAGUCCAAUCCUUGAUGCCCAGAAAAAAAUCUUACAGGAGACCAGAAGAUAAGGGCCAACAAAAGCUGAACAGAAGUUCAGUGAAAAUCAGUAAGGUCUUUAGGAUAGUCUAGUUCUGCCUCAUUUUCCUGAGGCAGCAGUGGGAAGCAGCUGGCCCUCCUGCCCCUCUCCCCAGCCCCUCCAGGCCUGCAUGCUAUCCUUGGGGACCCUAGGCCUCUGCUGGGAUUUCCCUCUGCUGUGGGGAUUUCCAUGCUGGCCUAGAGGCCCGCGGCAAGUAGCCCAGUUGCUAGAGCCUGGAGGCAGGUGAGCAGGGUGGUAGAAGGUGAGGGAGUGAUGUCAGAGAAGCCUCUCAACAGACAGCAUCAGCUUCCUGACGCUUAGAAGACCCCUUGUUUCUUCCAUCUCUUCAGAGCCAGGGCCAUCAGGUGGCCCAUAAACUCCUUUUUCACAUGCAAGCUGAGAAGGCUGUGAGCCAGCCACAUGGCAGGGGGUUGAGAGGCCAUCACCCUGCGUGUUCACCGCCUCUCCUCGCUGCUGCUGGAAGGAAAGGGCUUUGCCUCCAGUUAAGGGAACAUGAGGUCCUCAUAAAGGUUUCAGAGAGUUGGAGCAGAGAUGGAGGGGCUGAUAACUUGUCUCUGUCCCUAAUAUCUGACAGAAACAAAGAGCAAGGAAUACAACACUUACUAUUUAACAUUUAAUUUAGGAUGGCACCAAUUUCCAUUAAGUGAAGCAUCAAGGAAAAAUGCU